Molecule: ribosomal RNA, 182 nt
Filed under: uncultured bacterium
Lineage: Bacteria
Description: partial 16S ribosomal RNA
Rfam family: Bacterial small subunit ribosomal RNA
Source: RNAcentral
UGAAGCCGGAAUUGCUAGUAAUGGCAGGUCAGCAUACUGCCGUGAAUACGUUCCCGGGCCUUGUACACACCGCCCGUCACACCAUGAGAGUUGGGAAUACCCGAAGCCUGUGAGCUAAACCGGUAAGGGGGCAGCAGUCGAAGGUAGAAUCAAUGAUUGGGGUGAAGUCGUAACAAGGUACC